AUUCUGUUUAAGGGCCAAUUUGUAUCUAGUUUUCAGUGAUUCUGGUGAACACGAUUCUCAAGCCGCAAACCUGUCACCACGUGUGCAGCUGGAUAGUCGACAUGUGCACGAGCAGCUGUGUUGACAAGAUGGUGGUCCUCAGCGCUCUGAGGGUCGAUGUCCCGUCCAGUCACGUGUCCAGUCACGUGGCACGUGCUACCAUCUACGAGAAGACGAUCAACGAUAUGCCACGUCAUAAGAUUAUUUCAGAGAACCAAUAAUGAUGCGACAAAAAUCAGCUUUGAUGAGGAUUUCUCGUUUGAAUUGAUUUACAAAGGGGAGAAAGUCACCAGUAGUGCAUCAACGAUUUACAACUGAAGGUUUGAAUUCUGACGAGGACCUGAAUGGUUUGAAAACGAGCUGACAACGACCUGUAUGGUUUGAAUGCUAGCUGAAAACGAUAUGUAGGGUUGAAAUGCUAGAUGACACCGACCUGUAUGGGUUGAAUGCGUGUUACCACAUUGUCCUUUCGGAACAAUGGCAGCGGAGAUGCGACGUUAAGGACAAAAGGAUACCCUCAGUCAUCUUUCAUCGAGCCAUUAAGAGAAUACGCCUUAUUCUAUUAAAUUUCUUCUCUUAAAUACGGAUAGUAAACGUAAUUGUUAACAUUCACGUUAUAAUUC
Dreissena polymorpha is the source of this 662-nucleotide long non-coding RNA. RefSeq lists it as uncharacterized. The record is from RefSeq and is a predicted model, not a curated record. The transcript is spliced from 4 exons. Lineage: Eukaryota; Metazoa; Mollusca; Bivalvia; Myida; Dreissenidae.